GUGCAUGUAGCUCAGUGGGAAGAGCACCGGGUCGUGAUCCCGGUGGCCGUCGGUUCGAAUCCGACCAUGCACC
RNAcentral lists this transfer RNA (73 nucleotides) under Rhizobacter gummiphilus. RNAcentral's name for it is "Methylibium sp. NS21 tRNA". It matches the Rfam family "tRNA". From Rfam's summary of the family: Transfer RNA (tRNA) molecules are approximately 80 nucleotides in length. Their secondary structure includes four short double-helical elements and three loops (D, anti-codon, and T loops). Lineage: Bacteria; Pseudomonadati; Pseudomonadota; Betaproteobacteria; Burkholderiales; Sphaerotilaceae. The record is from Rfam by way of RNAcentral.